GGGUCAGUAGGUUGGUCGUGCCACCGGUACGUACUGGUCUCACUGAUUCCUCCUUCCUGAAGAACCGUAAUGCCAUUAAUCUGGUGUUGCGGGGAAACAGGACUGUUACUUUGAAAAAAUUAGAGUGUUUAGAGCAAGCUAACGCUUGAAUACAUUAGCAUGGAAUAAUGAAAUAGGACGAUCGAUCCUAUUUUGUUGGUUUCUAGGAUUGACGUA
Molecule: ribosomal RNA, 216 nt
Filed under: Glomeromycotina sp.
Lineage: Eukaryota; Fungi; Glomeromycota
Description: partial small subunit ribosomal RNA
Rfam family: Eukaryotic small subunit ribosomal RNA (bases 40-216)
Source: RNAcentral